GGGUUGUGAGGUUAAGCGACUAAGCGUACACGGUGGAUGCCCUGGCAGUCAGAGGCGAUGAAGGGCGUACUAAUCUGCGAUAAGCGCCGGUAAGGUGAUAUGAACCGUUAUAACCGGCGAUACCCGAAUGGGGAAACCCAGUGUGAUUCGUCACACUAUCAUUAACUGAAUCCAUAGGUUAAUGAGGCGAACCGGGGGAACUGAAACAUCUAAGUACCCCGAGGAAAAGAAAUCAACCGAGAUUCCCCCAGUAGCGGCGAGCGAACGGGGAGGAGCCCAGAGCCUGAAUCAGCAUGUGUGUUAGUGGAAGCGUCUGGAAAGGCGCGCGAUACAGGGUGACAGCCCCGUACACAAAAGCGCAUGUGCUGUGAGCUCGAUGAGUAGGGCGGGACACGUGGUAUCCUGUCUGAAUAUGGGGGGACCAUCCUCCAAGGCUAAAUACUCCUGACUGACCGAUAGUGAACCAGUACCGUGAGGGAAAGGCGAAAAGAACCCCGGCGAGGGGAGUGAAAAAGAACCUGAAACCGUGUACGUACAAGCAGUGGGAGCACCCUUUGGGUGUGACUGCGUACCUUUUGUAUAAUGGGUCAGCGACUUAUAUUCUGUAGCAAGGUUAACCGAAUAGGGGAGCCGGAGGGAAACCGAGUCUUAACCGGGCGUUAAGUUGCAGGGUAUAGACCCGAAACCCGGUGAUCUAGCCAUGGGCAGGUUGAAGGUUGGGUAACACUAACUGGAGGACCGAACCGACUAAUGUUGAAAAAUUAGCGGAUGACCUGUGGCUGGGGGUGAAAGGCCAAUCAAACCGGGAGAUAGCUGGUUCUCCCCGAAAGCUAUUUAGGUAGCGCCUCGUGAAUUCAUCUCCGGGGGUAGAGCACUGUUUCGGCUAGGGGGCCAUCCCGGCUUACCAACCCGAUGCAAACUGCGAAUACCGGAGAAUGUUAUCACGGGAGACACACGGCGGGUGCUAACGUCCGUCGUGAAGAGGGAAACAACCCAGACCGCCAGCUAAGGUCCCAAAGUCAUGGUUAAGUGGGAAACGAUGUGGGAAGGCCCAGACAGCCAGGAUGUUGGCUUAGAAGCAGCCAUCAUUUAAAGAAAGCGUAAUAGCUCACUGGUCGAGUCGGCCUGCGCGGAAGAUGUAACGGGGCUAAACCAUGCACCGAAGCUGCGGCAGCGACACUGUGUGUUGUUGGGUAGGGGAGCGUUCUGUAAGCCUGUGAAGGUGUGUCGUGAGGCAUGCUGGAGGUAUCAGAAGUGCGAAUGCUGACAUAAGUAACGAUAAAGCGGGUGAAAAGCCCGCUCGCCGGAAGACCAAGGGUUCCUGUCCAACGUUAAUCGGGGCAGGGUGAGUCGACCCCUAAGGCGAGGCCGAAAGGCGUAGUCGAUGGGAAACGGGUUAAUAUUCCCGUACUUGGUGUUACUGCGAAGGGGGGACGGAGAAGGCUAUGUUGGCCGGGCGACGGUUGUCCCGGUUUAAGCGUGUAGGCUGGUUUUCCAGGCAAAUCCGGAAAAUCAAGGCUGAGGCGUGA
RNAcentral lists this ribosomal RNA (1529 nucleotides) under Salmonella enterica subsp. enterica serovar Enteritidis. RNAcentral describes it as "partial 23S ribosomal RNA". It matches the Rfam family "Bacterial large subunit ribosomal RNA", at positions 1 to 1566 of the family's 2925-position model. Lineage: Bacteria; Pseudomonadati; Pseudomonadota; Gammaproteobacteria; Enterobacterales; Enterobacteriaceae. The record is from RNAcentral.